UAUUAAAACAUGUGCUAUUCAAUCUCUAUUAUUUCAUAUUUGAUAAUUCUUAUACUUUUUUUCAGAAAUUAUAAAUUAUGAAGAUUCAUUCACAAAACAAUCAGAAAAAGGCCUCAAUAUUUGCAGUAAACAAGCCUAAAAUAAAGUUGAAGCCCAAACCCGCAGCCCAACCUUGUCGGAUGCAUGUUUGCGCAUGCAUGGAGAAAGACCCACAUGAGAAAGCUAUGCAUGCGUGGACUCAUGAACAUUUAUGGUGCAAAAGGAUGUACGAGGGAAGACCAAAAAAAAUUUUCACAAGGCUCAUAGGUAUCCCCCCCUCCACAUGAUCCAUGGUGGACCAAAGGCAAAGAGUGGUUCAUGGUGGACCGCAUGGAAGAUAAAAGGAUGGGUCCUGGAGCUUCAUGUGGAAAGAAGGCUGAGAGCGGCAUGAGGAUUUAAACAAUGCUGGGUGGCUGUCUUUUUUUAUUUGGUCCACUUGAGCGGCGUGAAGGCUACGCGGGGAAAGGAAAUGGGCUUGCGGCUAGAUCAAAGGAAAUGGGCUUGCGGCUAGAUCCAUAGGCGCAAUCCUUCAAAUGGUAUACGAUGCGCAUGUUUGGUGACGAAAUAGGAGAGACAAUUUUAAGAGAAAAUAAAUAUCUAUUUUUUUCAUUAGUCCCACAUCUGAAACACACAAAAGCUUUUCUCUUCCUAACAUCUAUAAAUAAAGCCUAAUGCCUCCACUCUUAGAUAUUUCUCUUCAUAUCACACCUGUUGUAGGGGCUCACGCGACAGGCGGAAAUACCCACUUUGUAAAUUCUUUAGCUUUUUUUCUACUUUCUUCCACCCGUCCAACACACGAAAAGGAGAGUCAGUCAGGGGGAGGU
RNAcentral lists this long non-coding RNA (863 nucleotides) under Elaeis guineensis (African oil palm). Its description in RNAcentral is "long non-coding RNA (EGUI_LNC006109)". The record is from RNAcentral. Lineage: Eukaryota; Viridiplantae; Streptophyta; Magnoliopsida; Arecales; Arecaceae.